Molecule: long non-coding RNA, 942 nt
Organism: Tupaia belangeri chinensis (Chinese tree shrew)
Lineage: Eukaryota; Metazoa; Chordata; Mammalia; Scandentia; Tupaiidae
Exons: 3
Source: RefSeq, a predicted model, not a curated record
CCGGCUGCGGAGGCUGUUUGCUUAUUACCCGGCACUGCACCGUGUCCUGUUGAAGUGCCACUGGCCAGCGCAGACAGGACUGGCUGUUCCCGCAGAGAGAGCCACACUGCGGGGAGCAGCAGCCCCGACAGAGGCAGACAGCAGAGAGCGGGGCUGGGCAGAGACCAGAGGCCAGUCCGGGCCGGAAGAGAGGCCGAGGGAAGAUGGGACAGGGAAGGGACCCCCGAGGAACACCGCCUUCCAGAGCACUCAUUUCUGUACCUGUCAAGGUGAACAGUCCCUUCAGCGGACAAUCGCUAAGCACCUGGUCGGCACAGGCUUAGGCGAGGAGGACUCCCAGGAAGAAUGCUGUACAGGAAGAGCCGGAAGGAGAGGACAAGUUGCUUCCCAGAGAGUCAGGCCCUGAUAUCUGGAGUGAAAAAGAUUCCAACUCCAUGUCAGGAAGCCGAGACACGUGGCCUGCAUCCAUUUCUGACAGCAUUUUGUCAUGUGUCAUGUCAUUAAUGGGACAAGGGUGGGCUGGAGGGAUCCUCUGGAGGGAGCCAGCUCCAGAAAGGUCCUGCUUACUGAGCCUCUGGAAUGGGAAAUGGCCUUUUUCCUCCUGGACACAGAAGGUGUCCACCCCGCGGUCUGCCAAGCAGACUUCCUACCAGGCCCCCAUUUCUGUACCCAGCACCCCCGCACUAGCCACCCUGUGUCCUCCGUCACCCUCUGUUCACUGGCCUCUCACUAGCCAGUGCUGUUGAUGGACUAUGUGACCGCGUGCCUGGGUAGAUAAAACGGGGCCCCUCGAUCACGCCGGCCUGGAGUCUGCACACUGCUGCUUCUAGCUGUGUGAUCUUGGGCACUUCAGUAAACCUUUCUGUUCCUUCACCUAUCACAUGGUGACAACUGUGAUAACCGAUACUGGGCUUAAUCCAGAAUUAAAGAUAACCAUCGGAA